Long non-coding RNA from Xenia sp. Carnegie-2017, 1397 nucleotides. RefSeq lists it as uncharacterized. Lineage: Eukaryota; Metazoa; Cnidaria; Anthozoa; Malacalcyonacea; Xeniidae. The record is from RefSeq and is a predicted model, not a curated record. The transcript is spliced from 6 exons.
CAAAUGUGUUCUGAAUUUACAAAGUUGCCGAAGUGCAGAAUAUUGUCAUAUUCUUAUAUUUUCGUUUUAUUUCGAGAAAGUAAGAUAAAUACAAAACAUUCGUGAGGUAUUUAUUACAUUUAGCGUUCAUGUAUAUGUUCGUAUUAUCUUUCCCGGCUGUUGGUAAUGUAAACUUGAACACCAUGUUUUGUACAGUAUGCAGAGUUCACUAAAUUCAAGGGGUAAUUUUUGUGCUAACUGGGGGACGGAUCUUCGAAAGUCCGACGAAUUAAAGACCUUGCGGAACAGUGAUCCAUCAACAUCAGCUGGGCCUUCUACUGAUCUUUGUGCCACCAAACUUUGACUUUUAAAGAGUAUUUGGCAGAUAUUUCAUUUGCCACUGUUGAGACUAGGAAGCGUCAAGAUCGUUUUGUCUCCACGAAAAAGAGGAAGAAAGAUGAGACUGUCAAGAUAAACAUUGGAAUUAUUGAGCUGGAUGGGAAUCAUUUGAAAAUUAAGCGAGGCUCACUUCUUCCUAUUGAUGUAAAAAAAUGUGAUUCUCAUGUUGUCAUAAAAACUGCUGGGGUGGAGAAGCAACUGCCUCACAAUAAGCAACUCCGUGAUGAAAGUUCCGAAUAGGUUUUGUUGUACCCAGAUAUGGAGUUUUAUAUUUACCAGGCACAACAGAAACAUUUUCUGUAGAAAAGUACAAGGAGUCCCUUGGCAGGCCAUGCAAGUCGUGUGAAUUUGUAUGUUUGCAAGACUUUGGAUUAUGAAAUUGCUAAUGAAUUAGUUGAUGAUGUUGUGGAAGAGCAAUUAGAUUUGGAAGAAAUCAGACUAACAAAGACUCAAAAUGAAUCAUUGUGCACAGAACCACAGCUUGGAGAAGAAUCACAUUCCACAACUUUGGUUGGACUGUCAUCUAUUGAUGAUGCAACUUUAACACAACAUGCACUGGAGAACCUCCAAAAUUGUGAUGCUUUUGAGAUGAAUACUUUCCAAGGUGAAAGUUCUGAAGGGGCUGCUUUUGUCCCAGAAAGUAUGGCAAAUGAGGUUAUAGAGCGAGAAGUGUUGCUUAUUCCUCGUUGUAAUGUGAAAGCUGAUUUGCUGCACUAUUUUGAAAAAGGUGAUAUUUUAAAGAAGUGUGUGGAUGUCAAGAUGAUAGAUUCCAGAGGUGUUGAGGAAAAGGGCGAAGGAGUCGGCGUUGUCAGGGAUGCAUUUUCUCUGUUUUGGAAUGAAAUAGUUUCAUGUCAGGCGAGGAUGAACGAGUCCCAGUGAUUCGUCAUGACGUUUCGCGGGUAUUUUCAGUUCGUACGUAUUUGUAAGCCUAUUAUGAAACGAAUGAAAUCACGUUAGACGAGAUUGAAAAAGUUAUUGACGAAGCUGACAGAUUGUCUCUUCUUUCUCAUUUCUUUUUU